AGAGUUUGAUCAUGGCUCAGAACGAACGCUGGCGGCAGGCUUAACACAUGCAAGUCGAACGGUUGUAGCAAUACAGCAGUGGCAGACGGGUGAGUAACACGUGGGAACCUUCCUAGGGGUACGGAACAACUCAGGGAAACUUGAGCUAAUACCGUAUACGUCCGUAAGGAGAAAGAUUCAUCGCCCCUAGACGGGCCCGCGUAGGAUUAGGUAGUUGGUGAGGUAACGGCUCACCAAGCCUACGAUCCUUAGCUGAUCUGAGAGGAUGAUCAGCCACACUGGGACUGAGACACGGCCCAGACUCCUACGGGAGGCAGCAGUGGGGAAUCUUGGACAAUGGGCGCAAGCCUGAUCCAGCCAUGCCGCGUGAGUGAAGAAGGCCUUCGGGUUGUAAAGCCCUUUUACCAGGGACGAUAAUGACGGUACCUGAGAAUA
RNAcentral lists this ribosomal RNA (435 nucleotides) under uncultured Fulvimarina sp. RNAcentral describes it as "bacterial SSU rRNA". It matches the Rfam family "Bacterial small subunit ribosomal RNA", at positions 8 to 487 of the family's 1533-position model. Lineage: Bacteria; Pseudomonadati; Pseudomonadota; Alphaproteobacteria; Hyphomicrobiales; Aurantimonadaceae. The record is from RNAcentral.